GACGAACGCUGGCGGCGUGCUUAACACAUGCAAGUCGAGCGAUGAAAGCCUUAUGAACUAUUCGUAGUGAUUGGGGCCGGAUUAGCGGCGGACGGGUGAGUAACGCGUGAGCAACCUGCCUUAAACAACGGGAUAGCCUCGGGAAACCGGGAUUAAUACCGUAUGAGACCCCGCCUUCACAUGAAGAAGAGGUUAAAGAUUUAUCGGUUUAAGAUGGGCUCGCGUCUGAUUAGCUAGUUGGUGAGAUAAAAGCCUACCAAGGCAACGAUCAGUAACCGGCUUGAGAGAGUGAACGGUCAUAUUGGAACUGAGACACGGUCCAAACUCCUACGGGAGGCAGCAGUGGGGAAUAUUGCACAAUGGGGGAAACCCUGAUGCAGCGACGCCGCGUGAGCGAUGAAGGAAUUCGUUUCGUAAAGCUCUGUCCAAGGGGAAGAUAAUGACAGUACCCUUGGAGGAAGCCCCGGCUAAAUACGUGCCAGCCGCCGCCGUAA
Molecule: ribosomal RNA, 494 nt
Filed under: uncultured bacterium
Lineage: Bacteria
Description: partial 16S ribosomal RNA
Rfam family: Bacterial small subunit ribosomal RNA
Source: RNAcentral